AACGCACAUUGCGCCCAUUAGUAUUCUAGUGGGCAUGCCUGUUCGAGCGUCAUUUCAACCCUUAAGCCUAGCUUAGUGUUGGGAAUCUAUAUGUGGCCCAAGCUACCCUGUAGCGUGGUUACCCUGUAGUUCCUGAAAAUCAACGGCGGAUUUAUAGUAUCCUCUGAGCGUAGUAAUUUUUUUAUCUCGCUUCUGUUUAGGUGCUGUAGAUUUUGCCGCUAAACCCCCAAUUUUUGUGGUUGACCUCGGAUCAGGUAGGAAUACCCGCUGAACUUAA
RNAcentral lists this unclassified non-coding RNA (277 nucleotides) under uncultured fungus. RNAcentral describes it as "sequence contains ITS2". The record is from RNAcentral. Lineage: Eukaryota; Fungi.